Molecule: unclassified non-coding RNA, 201 nt
Filed under: Hevea brasiliensis (rubber tree)
Lineage: Eukaryota; Viridiplantae; Streptophyta; Magnoliopsida; Malpighiales; Euphorbiaceae
Source: RNAcentral
GGAGGAGGAGGAGGCGGAGGCGGAGGCUGCAGAGGUAGCUGUGGCAACACAUGGGAUGUGUCCAACAACAUCAAAGGAGGAGGAUGGUUGGAUGCUUGAAAAGACGGUGGUUGUUGUUGUUGUUGUUGUGGCUGUGGUGGUGGUGGUGGGGGUGGGGGUGCUACUGCUACCGCAGCUGCACUUCCACGUAACAAAAGAUCA